GGGGUGACGGCGUGCCUUUUGAAGAAUGAGCCUGCGAGUUAGUGCUCUGUGGCGAGGUUAACCCGUGUGGGGCAGCCGUAGCGAAAGCGAGUCCGAAUAGGGCGAUUCAGUCGCAGGGUCUAGACCCGAAGCGAAGUGAUCUAUCCAUGGCCAGGUUGAAGCGACGGUAAGACGUCGUGGAGGACCGAACCCACUUCAGUUGAAAAUGGAGGGGAUGAGCUGUGGAUAGGGGUGAAAGGCCAAUCAAACUUCGUGAUAGCUGGUUCUCUCCGAAAUGCAUUUAGGUGCAGCGUUGCGUGUUUCUUGCCGGAGGUAGAGCUACUGGAUGGCCGAUGGGGCCCAAAAGCUUACUGACGUCAGCCAAACUCCGAAUGCCGGUAAGUGAGAGCGCAGCAGUGAGACUGUGGGGGAUAAGCUUCAUAGUCGAGAGGGAAACAACCCAGACCACCAACUAAGGUCCCUAAGCGCGUGCUAAGUGGGAAAGGAUGUGGAGUUGCACAGACAACCAGGAGGUUGGCUUAGAAGCAGCCACCCUUGAAAGAGUGCGUAAUAGCUCACUGGUCAAGUGAUUCCGCGCCGACAAUGUAACGGGGCUCAAGCACGCCACCGAAGUUGUGGCAUUGACAUUAGUGGUAGGCCUUCGUGGUCCAGCCGUGUUGAUGGGUAGGAGAGCGUCGUGUGGCGAGUGAAGCGGCGGUGUGAACCAGCCGUGGAUGCCACACGAGUGAGAAUGCAGGCAUGAGUAGCGAAAGACGGGUGAGAAACCCGUCCUCCGGAAGACCAAGGGUUCCAGGGUCAAGCUAAUCUUCCCUGGGUAAGUCGGGACCUAAGGCGAGGCCGACAGGCGUAGUCGAUGGACAACGGGUUGAUAUUCCCGUACCGGCGAAGAACCGCCCAAGACAAUCCAGUAGUGCUAAGUAUCUGAAUCCCUUUGAUGGAUCCCUUCGGGGUGAAGCGUUGGGCCUAGCGUACGACCCCGUGCUGGUGCGUUUAGCGUAUUAACAGGUGUGACGCAGGAAGGUAGCCGAGCCGGGCGAUGGUUGUCCCGGUCUAAGGAUGUAGGGCGAACGAUAGGCAAAUCCGUCGUUCAUACAGCCUGAGAUCUGAUGGGUAGACGCAAGUCGAAAUCGGUGAUCCUAUGCUGCCAAGAAAAGCAUCGACGCGAGGUUCUAGCUGCCCGUACCCCAAACCG
This 1192-nucleotide ribosomal RNA is filed under the name Rathayibacter sp. AY1C7. RNAcentral's name for it is "bacterial LSU rRNA". It matches the Rfam family "Bacterial large subunit ribosomal RNA", at positions 590 to 1656 of the family's 2925-position model. The record is from RNAcentral. Lineage: Bacteria; Bacillati; Actinomycetota; Actinomycetes; Micrococcales; Microbacteriaceae.